This 460-nucleotide ribosomal RNA is filed under the name uncultured bacterium. Its description in RNAcentral is "partial 16S ribosomal RNA". It matches the Rfam family "Bacterial small subunit ribosomal RNA", at positions 338 to 795 of the family's 1533-position model. The record is from RNAcentral.
CCUACGGGAGGCAGCAGUGAGGAAUAUUGGUCAAUGGACGAGAGUCUGAACCAGCCAAGUAGCGUGAAGGAUGACUGCCCUAUGGGUUGUAAACUUCUUUUAUAUGGGAAUAAAAUGUUCCACGUGUGGGAUUUUGUAUGUACCAUAUGAAUAAGGAUCGGCUAACUCCGUGCCAGCAGCCGCGGUAAUACGGAGGAUCCGAGUGUUAUCCGGAUUUAUUGGGGUUAAAGGGAGCGUAGGUGGAUUGUUAAGUCAGUUGUGAAAGUUUGCGGCUCAACCGUAAAAUUGCAGUUGAAACUGGCAGUCUUGAGUACAGUAGAGGUGGGCGGAAUUCGUGGUGUAGCGGUGAAAUGCUUAGAUAUCACGAAGAACUCCGAUUGCGAAGGCAGUUCACUGGACUGCAACUGACACUGAGGCUCGAAAGUGUGGGUAUCAAACAGGAUUAGAUACCCGUGUAGUC